UUGACAGAAGAGAGAGAGCACAACCCAGCAUAAGCUAAAGAAAAGCCUUUGCAUGUGUUGGGAGUGUGCUUUCUCUUCUUCUGUCAA
RNAcentral lists this microRNA precursor (87 nucleotides) under Beta vulgaris subsp. vulgaris (sugar beet). RNAcentral's name for it is "pre miRNA mir-156". The record is from RNAcentral. Lineage: Eukaryota; Viridiplantae; Streptophyta; Magnoliopsida; Caryophyllales; Amaranthaceae.